Molecule: long non-coding RNA, 395 nt
Organism: Octopus sinensis (East Asian common octopus)
Lineage: Eukaryota; Metazoa; Mollusca; Cephalopoda; Octopoda; Octopodidae
Exons: 3
Source: RefSeq, a predicted model, not a curated record
GAUUCCGAAUGACUGUCAGCACUGCUGUUUAUCCUGUUGGCUGAAGUUACUUAAAUUUAUUCAGACUAUUAACAAAAUAAAAACGACGAACAAAAAUCCAUCACAGGAGCAUACAGAAGAUUUCACAAAAAAAGAAAAAGUGGAUAAAAACAACGAAUCUUAUUUGAAACAAAAUAGUUUGUUUCGGAUUAUAUUCAGCUUCAGUUCCUCGGUCUUCAAUAAAUACUUCAGGUCUUGAUCAUCAUGGUUGGAACCACCCUGUAAAAAUUUCAGUAUCAGAAUAUGGAAUUUACAACAAAUUUUCAUAUUCUCCCUAUCACCCUUUUCCAUCUUCAUAUAUCAUAGGAAUGCCAUCUUAUUUUUUCAAUUUUUGGAAUUAUUACAAUCACGGAUUG